RNAcentral lists this ribosomal RNA (394 nucleotides) under Sternaspis cf. scutata NHMUK ANEA 2019. RNAcentral describes it as "partial 16S ribosomal RNA". It matches the Rfam family "Bacterial large subunit ribosomal RNA", at positions 2011 to 2619 of the family's 2925-position model. Lineage: Eukaryota; Metazoa; Annelida; Polychaeta; Terebellida; Sternaspidae. The record is from RNAcentral.
UUCCUCUGUCUCUAUAAAGCCAAUGAAAAUUAAUCCUCAGGUGAAGAAGCCUGAAUUAUGUUAAAAGACAAAAAGACCCUAUUGAGCUUAAUUCUAAUAUUAGGCAAUUAAAAUAAAAAUAAAAUCACCCCUUUUAUAAGAAUUUUGCUGGGGCAGCAAAGGAACAACCAAAAAUUCCUUCUUUCAAAGACCUAUAAGUCUACUAAAAUGAUCCAUAUUUAUGAUUAACAAAACUAGCUACCAUAGGGAUAACAGGCUAAUUUUUCUCUAGAGCCCAAAUUGACAGAAAAGAUUGGCACCUCGAUGUUGGCUUAGGAUAUCCCAAAAGCGCAGAAGCUUUUAAAGGUAGGUUUGUUCAACCUUUAAAAUCCUACGUGAUCUGAGUUCAGACCGG